This 2872-nucleotide long non-coding RNA is filed under the name Olea europaea (common olive). RNAcentral's name for it is "long non-coding RNA (OEUR_LNC001723)". Lineage: Eukaryota; Viridiplantae; Streptophyta; Magnoliopsida; Lamiales; Oleaceae. The record is from RNAcentral.
AAUUAAUUGCCCUAUUUUACAAUGAAUCCUAUUUUGAUCGAGAACUUCAAUAUCAAAUUAAUGUUGCUUAAUGCUUCAAAAUUUCAUUUCUUGUUGAUAAGUGAACAAAUCAUUUGAGACUUGCAUAAAUUUAAGUAUACUAAAUGAUAUGAAAAUUGACCCACAAAAUAGCAAGAUAAAUAAACAAAAAUAUAGAAGUUGCUUACCAGUGAAUUUGAAGGCAAUUACUCCAACAACGAAAAGCAAAAGUUGAACUGUGGCAAUCCCAUCUUUAAUUUGAUUUAUGAAGGUUGUGGCAAUCCCAUCUUUAAUUUAUCUACUUCAUGUUUAUUUGAUUGGAUAAAUUUCCUGUUAAGCUUUUCAAAAUUUUCCAAGUUAUAAUAAAAAUAUUCAUUAGGUUAGUCUAUGGUUGUUAUGUACAUUUUCAUUUUUAGCAACACGGUAGUUUCUAUAAUCACAACAUACUCUUUAACCUUUCUUAAUAGGUCUUUAACAAAUUGACUUUUUAAGCUAAGUGUUUGUUUUGGAGAAAAUUUUCCAAGUAAAAUUUGAUUUUUUUGGAGUGUGUGGUUAGAAAGUGAAGAAAGGUUGUGAAUCCCUAAACGACUUUGUUGAAAAUGAUUGUGGGGAAAAAUCUUUCCCAAACAAACCAUAAAGAAGACCUUCCAAAAAAGGAAAGAAAUAAAUUGCAUUUGGCCUGUUAUAUUUUGCUUUUUCUUCCAUUAUGCUUCACUAUGAUUAUUUAGUUGAUAAUGUAAUCUGUUGCAUAAAGGCUUGUGUACGCCCACACACUUUUGAUCUAUUAAGGCUUGUCUGGCAACACUUUCCAAAAGUAAAAAGUUGCUACUAUUUGGAUAAUAUUUCAAAAUUGUUUUGUGUGGCUGAAGGAGAUUUUGGAGGAAUCUAAUUGAAGAUAGUUUCUUCGAAACGCUCUUCUACAAUAAAAGUUGUUUCAAACGAGCAUUUAAUCCUAUUUUUGGUUAAAAAUUUAUCAUGGAGAUAAGAAACUGAAAGGUACAGGAAAAUUGCAUCACAGAUGAUAUUACAAAAAUUAAUCAAGGACCAUAAAAAUUUUAGUUCUUGACUUACGGGGACGUAGAAUAUAAAAAAAUUGAAUGUAAAAGAUUUUAAGGAAGAGGGCGUUAUAUAUUCACUGGAAUUUUUGUUUAUUAGGGUGAGAAAUUAUUGAUGUUAGUGUGUUAAAUAUAUAAAUAUAAAUAAGUUAGUUGUAUAUCUCAAGAAGGUAAUAUUUUAUAAAUAAUUAGUCAUUCAAUAAGAUAUCACUUUUUUCAAAUAUUCUAAAUUCACAUCUCACCUUGUUUGCAAGAUUUUCAUGUAUUAGCGUAAAGGGUUAAAUGUUGAUUGAAAAAUAUAUCUAAUUCGUAUUCGAAUAAAUUCAUUUUUUUGAUAUCAUAGCUAGUUUAAACAAUAUUCUUUUUUGAGCUUCAUGAAUUCUAUUUUUGUUUUGUACUAUUGGUCUCCUGUGAAUGUUGUAAAAAUAUAAUUGUUCAAUAAUCAAUGCUCGCAAUAUCAAUAAUCAAUGCUCAUCAAUUUUAAUGGAAUAUCAAUCAUCUCCCUACAUGUAUUGUGUAUAGCAAUUAUAUCUCCUCCAACAUUUGGAGCUAUCUUGUCCUUUUAAAGAAGAAAUAGAUUGCUCAUUUAGGUAGUGUGUACAAAGCUUUUGACAAGGAAUGGAGUUUUUGAUUUUAUUACUUUAUGAGUUUUUCAUGCUUCCUGAGGCACGUGUUUAUUGAACUAUAAAUGAUAUUUGUUGCUUUCCGUAGACGUGCUUGACUUCUUGCUUUGUAGAGUAGAAUUACAGCUUGCUUCCAACAAUCUUAUUAAGUAGACUGCAUUCUCGUGGAAGCAGAGUACCAAGUAUGACAUUUAGGAGACUUAAUCUAAUCUACUUUCCUUUUAAUAUGAAUAUUAUGCUCUCACACAUUUGAUUGUGUUGCCAAUUACCAAGUUUGAGCUUCAUGAAUUCUAUUUUUGUUUUGUACUAUUGGUCUCCUGUGAAUGUUGUAAAAAUAUAAUUGUUCAAUAAUCAAUGCUCGCAAUAUCAAUAAUCAAUGCUCAUCAAUUUUAAUGGAAUAUCAAUCAUCUCCCUACAUGUAUUGUGUAUAGCAAUUAUAUCUCCUCCAACAUUUGGAGCUAUCUUGUCCUUUUAAAGAAGAAAUAGAUUGCUCAUUUAGGUAGUGUGUACAAAGCUUUUGACAAUGAAUGGAGUUUUUGAUUUUAUUACUUUAUGAGUUUUUCAUGCUUCCUGAGGCACGUGUUUAUUGAACUAUAAAUGAUAUUUGUUGCUUUCCGUAGACGUGCUUGACUUCUUGCUUUGUAGAGUAGAAUUACAGCUUGCUUCCAACAAUCUUAUUAAGUAGACUGCAUUCUCGUGGAAGCAGAGUACCAAGUAUGACAUUUAGGAGACUUAAUCUAAUCUACUUUCCUUUUAAUAUGAAUAUUAUGCUCUCACACAUUUGAUUGUGUUGCCAAUUACCAAGUUCACAAUUUGAAUUGUUGCAGUUUAAUGUUUGAUAGUAUCAUAAUGGACAAAGAAUGACAGCAAUUAUCAAGGUUAUCGUCUGAAAUAAAAUCUUAUAAAUCUAGGUCCAAAAUUUAAACAAUAAUAUAAAAUAAUCAUACAAUUGUUGUUGUAGAUUUUCAGAACAAAACAGAGAUGGAGCACGAAAGUUUGUAGAACUAGCUCGUGAAACUCUAAAUUCAGAAAUGAUAGGAUGCCCUUGUAUCAAGUGUAGGGAUCUAAAGCAUCACAAUUAUGAAAUAGUUUAUGAACAUUUAAUUAUUAAAGGUAUGCAUCCUACAUACACUGAUUAGGUAUUUCAUAGAGAAAUACCAGGUAAAUCAAAUUUGG